UCAUUUUCUUGCAGACGCCUUUCAAAUACUUUGGACGCACAUACAAUCAGAUCUUUGUGAACAACAAUGGCCAUCUAACGUUUACCGAGCCGCUGCCUGCCUACAACUCCUCUCUGGAUCCCGGAAGAGACAUCAUUGCUCCUCUUUGGACUCACCUUGACUAUAGACGCGGAGGAACUAUCUCCUAUAGGCAGGAGACAAGCAGUGCUGCACUGACACAAGUCACAGCAGCUGUUAAGCGAUACUUCCCUAACAUACCCUUUGCUGCUACUUCAGCUUUUGUCGCUACAUGGGACAGUGUGCCAUACUCUAAUGGUGGAGGGGUGGCCUCUUUCCAAGUGGUUUUAGCCUACAAUGUCCAUCGCUCUUUCAUCCUGAUCUAUUAUGGAGAUGUUGCAGAAACAGGACUACCAUGGCAGGUAAGUGAAGUUG
Non-coding RNA from Pimephales promelas (fathead minnow), 432 nucleotides. The record is from RefSeq and is a predicted model, not a curated record. NCBI's taxonomy places the organism in Eukaryota, Metazoa, Chordata, Actinopteri, Cypriniformes, Leuciscidae.